Molecule: ribosomal RNA, 202 nt
Filed under: Cardiocondyla obscurior
Lineage: Eukaryota; Metazoa; Arthropoda; Insecta; Hymenoptera; Formicidae
Description: partial large subunit ribosomal RNA
Source: RNAcentral
GAAUUUUAUAUAAAAAAAAUUAAGAAAUAUUUAAUAGUAUUUAUAUUUAAUUGGGAGGAUUGUUAAAUUUUAAAAACUUUAAUUAAAAAUAAAAUAUAAAUUUGUGGAUUAAAGAGUUGGAUUAUAAAAUAAAAAAGAAUUAAUUACCUUAGGGAUAACAGCGUAAUAUUUUUGGAGAGAUUAUAUUAAUAAAAAUGUUUGC